UUCCGGUUGAUCCUGCCGGACCCCACUGCUAUCGAGAUGGGACUAAGGUAUGCUAGUCGAACGACCAGAACUAUGUCUGGGAGUGGCACACUGCUCAGUAACACGUAGCUAACCUACCCUUAGGACGUGGAUACCCCCGAGAAAUUGGGGUUAAUCCGCGAUAGAUGUAAUGUCCUGGAAUGGUAUUACGUCUAAAGGUAUUUCAUACAUGUUUGAAAUAUGCCUAAGGAUGGGGCUGCGGCCGAUCAGGCUGUUGGUGAGGUAAUGGCUCACCAAACCUUUGACCGGUACGGGCCAUGAGAGUGGUAGCCCGGAGAUGGACACUGAGACAAGGGUCCAGGCCCUAAGGGGCGCAGCAACCGCGAAACCUCCACAAUGCACUCACGUGCGAUGGGGCUAUCUCGAGUGCCACCUGAUGAAGGUGGCUUUUCCUUGGUCUUCAAAGCCUUGGGAAUAAGAGGGGGGCAAGACUGGUGUCAGCCGCCGCGGUAACACCAGUCCCUCGAGUGGUGGGGAUGAUUAUUUG
This 526-nucleotide ribosomal RNA is filed under the name uncultured archaeon. Its description in RNAcentral is "bacterial SSU rRNA". It matches the Rfam family "Archaeal small subunit ribosomal RNA", at positions 1 to 507 of the family's 1478-position model. The record is from RNAcentral.